Oxyura jamaicensis (ruddy duck) is the source of this 2127-nucleotide long non-coding RNA. RefSeq lists it as uncharacterized. The record is from RefSeq and is a predicted model, not a curated record. Lineage: Eukaryota; Metazoa; Chordata; Aves; Anseriformes; Anatidae. The transcript has 2 exons.
CAUCGUCAACUUCACAUCAUGAUGUUACAGGAGCAAGAGAACGGUAAUGAACCUGUGCUGCCGUUCGCAUCCCAGUGCUUUAGAAAGUGGCAACAGAGAUCAGAAAAUGAAGUACCAAAUUGAUUGCAGCCGUGUAGUCUAUAUAUGUACAUAGAGUAAUACUUACAGAGUAGUCCAGUACAGAACUAGUGUGACAAGACUGUGGCAUGGAAAUUCCUGCCCUUUUCCCCAAAUGGCAAAAUGGGACCAGAGUUUCUGGGUCCCCCCUUACUUGAGUCUCAGAGGGCUCUGAACAAGAGCUCUUAAAAAGGCAAAAGACGUGAGUCCCAGAGGUCACCACGUAUAACUUGCAUGUAAUUUCACCUCCAAAGCUCCAUUCUCCCCUGGCUCCCUGGGCCUGGGCUGCAAUGGGGGGAAGAGACUUUUCCUCCUUUUACUGAGCAUGUCCCUCUCCAGCCACUGCCACAGUGGAACAAACUCAUCCUUCUUGUUGUCUAAGGUAAUGCCAAUCCUGGCAUCUCUCUGAUCUGCUCACUUCACAGAGUAAGGGGCCUGGGGCUGCCAGGUUUAUAGAUAGUAAAUAUUGUUUCAGAGUCCCCAGCCUCCACCCACUUGUAUGCACAGUCCUGCACCUGCGCCUUGAAAUUCUUAAUUCUAACAUAAUGAUAAAUGGCCCUUGCCCUUUUCAUUGGUCUUAUUGGACAUUCCCCCUUUUUUUCUUUUAUUUUUUUUCUUAUUCUUUUUUUUUAAUCUUGAAUUGUAAUUAUUUUAUAGUGUCUUUUUUAUGUGCCUAAAUUUUGUGUGCCACACUCAUGAGGUCUUUUGAAGUCCUUUUUUUUUUUUUUUUUUUUUUUUUAAAAAUUUUGGUUUGUUUUUUUUUUUUUUUCACCCCUUUUCUUUUUUAAAGGCCAUUUACGUUAUGAUUAAAUGCCAUCUUGGAAAGGCAGAACGAAAGUCGUUAAUCUAUAUAGAUCUUCAAAGAAUCGAUACAUUCGGGACUUCUGUAGGAUUUGUUACACUCCAUUUUGUUACAGUAGGCAGCUCGUCUGGAUUUGGGCACAUGUGUUUCUCUCCCUCCCCUCGCCCCCCCUCUCUUCCAGCUUCCCCCCCCCAAGAGUGAAAAUAAAGUAAAAGGUCUUUCAUGGUAAACAAAACCAGCUUAUUCUCCACAUAGAACACAUGAAUAGCUGGAAAAAAACUUACAAUAAAUGGUGCAUUUUUUUCUCUGCUGGGUAUAGCAUUCAAGAUCAGUCCAGUAUUCAAGAAGCAGUCCAUUUUUUGCUCAGCAAGAGAGUUUAGAAAAGAAGCGUGGGGUCUAUUCAAGGAUCUUUUCCCCUUCACAAUUGCUGGGCUUUAUGAAACCUAUCUUCCAUGCCUUGUCAGAGUAUUUCUGGGGACCAAUUAGUGCUUUGUUGCAAGGCUUCUUUGCUGAAUCUUUGAGCAGCAAGAAAAAGCUCUCUCGAGUCUCCCCUUAUUUUGACUAUUUCAGUCAUUACUCAGUGUAAUAAUUAAUAUGACAACUGGACGCUGAAGUUUGUAUAGAAACACCUCGGCUGCAGGAGAGAGCGUGCAGUGGGUGGUAACAAGCUACAGAUCAGACCGAGAAGCCACACACACAAGGAAAAAAAAGAGAGGGAGAGAGAAUAAUGAAUGAAAAGAAAGAGGGAAAGAAUAAAGAUAAAUAAAUAGUUGGCACAACCCGAAGAAACAUAAUACAGACUUGGAAGAAAAAAGAAAAAAAAAAAAAAAAAAGGCAAUUAAGAGGCAGGGGAGGGGGCGGGGGACCCCAGAGUGGCAAACUUAUUUUGAAACAGUUUCUAUGUGAAUAUAAUUUUCAAAACUUUCUUACUUUUAGGAGGCAGGAAAGCGAUUUUUCCUGGUGACUAUUCCUUCGGGGUGGAUGGAAGCUACUUCCCGGGACAGCAAGUUGCAGGAGUUUUCUGGUGUUGUAUCGUCUACCAGAGGAAUAAAGCCUGUGCCACCGAUGAAGAAUUAAAAAUGACGUUUGACCAGGGACACUGCUGAAUUCUUCUCGAAAAGGCGCCUUGGGAUGAACCCUCAUCACUUUGGAGACAUUUCUUGGGCUGCCAAUUAGGGCAUAAUAAAUAAUUAGAGGUUUUAAGCAUA